GUCAUUCUCCUAAGAAGCUA
RNAcentral lists this unclassified non-coding RNA (20 nucleotides) under Severe acute respiratory syndrome coronavirus 2. RNAcentral's name for it is "Primer-RNA (5'-R(P*UP*UP*CP*UP*CP*CP*UP*AP*AP*GP*AP*AP*GP*CP*UP*A)-3') from Severe acute respiratory syndrome coronavirus 2 (PDB 7CTT, chain Q)". The record is from RNAcentral. Lineage: Riboviria; Orthornavirae; Pisuviricota; Pisoniviricetes; Nidovirales; Coronaviridae.